RNAcentral lists this ribosomal RNA (497 nucleotides) under uncultured bacterium. RNAcentral describes it as "partial 16S ribosomal RNA". It matches the Rfam family "Bacterial small subunit ribosomal RNA", at positions 28 to 507 of the family's 1533-position model. The record is from RNAcentral.
GAUGAACGCUGGCGGCGUGCCUAAUACAUGCAAGUCGAGCGAACAGACGAGGAGCUUGUUCCUCUGACGUUAGCGGCGGACGGGUGAGUAACACGUGGAUAACCUACCUAUAAGACUGGGAUAACUUCGGGAAACCGGAGCUAAUACCGGAUAAUAUAUUGAACCGCAUGGUUCAAUAGUGAAAGACGGUUUUGCUGUCACUUAUAGAUGGAUCCGCGCCGCAUUAGCUAGUUGGUAAGGUAACGGCUUACCAAGGCAACGAUGCGUAGCCGACCUGAGAGGGUGAUCGGCCACACUGGAACUGAGACACGGUCCAGACUCCUACGGGAGGCAGCAGUAGGGAAUCUUCCGCAAUGGGCGAAAGCCUGACGGAGCAACGCCGCGUGAAUGAUGAAGGUCUUCGGAUCGUAAAACUCUGUUAUUAGGGAAGAACAAAUGUGUAAGUAACUAUGCACGUCUUGACGGUACCUAAUCAGAAAGCCACGGCUAACUACGUG